RNAcentral lists this ribosomal RNA (253 nucleotides) under uncultured bacterium. RNAcentral describes it as "partial 16S ribosomal RNA". It matches the Rfam family "Bacterial small subunit ribosomal RNA", at positions 524 to 776 of the family's 1533-position model. The record is from RNAcentral.
GACGAGCGACACUAACGUUAUUCGGAAUUACUGGGCUUAAAGGGUGCGUAGGCGGUGCGACAAGUCGGGUGUGAAAGCCCCCAGCUCAACUGGGGAACUGCGCCCGAAACUGUCGUGCUCGAGGAAGACAGAGGUACGCGGAACUUAUGGUGGAGCGGUGAAAUGCGUUGAUAUCCUAAGGAACACCGGUGGCGAAAGCGGCGUACUGGGUUUUAUCUGACGCUGCGGAUCGAAAGCUAGGGGAGCAAACGGG